RNAcentral lists this ribosomal RNA (292 nucleotides) under uncultured bacterium. Its description in RNAcentral is "partial 16S ribosomal RNA". It matches the Rfam family "Bacterial small subunit ribosomal RNA", at positions 505 to 796 of the family's 1533-position model. The record is from RNAcentral.
GUGUCAGCAGCCGCGGUAAUACGGAGGAUCCAAGCGUUAUCCGGAAUCAUUGGGUUUAAAGGGUCCGUAGGCGGGACAAUCAGUCAGUGGUGAAAGUCUGCAGCUCAACUGUAGAAUUGCCAUUGAUACUGUUGUCCUUGAGUUAUUAUGAAGUGGUUAGAAUGAGUAGUGUAGCGGUGAAAUGCAUAGAUAUUACUCAGAAUACCGAUUGCGAAGGCAGAUCACUAAUAAUACACUGACGCUGAUGGACGAAAGCGUAGGUAGCGAACAGGAUUAGAAACCCGAGUAGUCC